This 460-nucleotide ribosomal RNA is filed under the name uncultured bacterium. RNAcentral's name for it is "partial 16S ribosomal RNA". It matches the Rfam family "Bacterial small subunit ribosomal RNA", at positions 338 to 795 of the family's 1533-position model. The record is from RNAcentral.
CCUACGGGAGGCAGCAGUGAGGAAUAUUGGUCAAUGGGCGUAAGCCUGAACCAGCCAAGCCGCGUGCGGGAUGAAGGUUCUAUGGAUCGUAAACCUCUUUUAUAAGGGAAUAAGCGGUGGUACGUGUCUUUUUUUGUAUGUACCUUAUGAAUAAGGAUCGGCUAACUCCGUGCCAGCAGCCGCGGUAAUACGGAGGAUCCGAGCGUUAUCCGGAUUUAUUGGGUUUAAAGGGUGCGUAGGCGGCCCUUUAAGUUAGCGGUGAAAGUCUGUGGCUCAACCAUGGAAUUGCCGCUGAAACUGGGGGGCUAGAGUAUGUUUGCGGCAGGCGGAAUGCGUGGUGUAGCGGUGAAAUGCUUAGAGAUCACGCAGAACACCGAUUGCGAAGGCAGCCUGCCAAGCCAUGACUGACGCUGAUGCACGAAAGCGUGGGGAUCAAACAGGAUUAGAUACCCGUGUAGUC